GUGGAACUGUGCUGUCCCAACUGACUGUGGUCCUAAUAGAUGAGCAUCCGGGCACCUUGCAGUCUAAUGCGUCCUGUCUUUGCAGUGCCCAAGGGAGCCAGGGAAGUGCUGUCAUCUCGCACAGGAAACAUGGCAGAGCAAUGAACUAAACCCGGGUUGCCAGCGCAUUAACAACAGGUGGCAUGUCCCUCCAUCUGCUUUCACCUGGGUCAUGAUGUUUGAGGAACAUUUUCCCCUCUUCACUUUUAACACUUCAGUAAAUUAUGUGUGGCUCUUCUCUGCUUUCAGGUUCACUUCCGAUUCCCCCCCACCAUUACCUGGGGCCUGUGACCAGGGCUUGCAUUUCCUUCAAAGGGUGACUGAAUUUCUUUGUCUGGAUAACUCAUAUGCUGCACUUGAUGUCAUCAGGAAGCAGCAGUGACCCCAGGCCCGAGUUAGUGGAGGGUGAUUUGGAGGCCCAGACGGUGUGAAGUGGUGCCUUCAUUUGGAGACCAACAUCUCACCAACCCCACCGCAGUGCGAUGCUUCUGCUGAUUUUCCUCAAUGAAGAACUCAUGGAUUUGAUGCUGAGGAUCCUGCUGUCCCAAUGGUUGCUGUGUCCCCAGCUGCUCUUUGCAGCUUGUGUGCAUUUCAUUUCACAGCCUGAUCAUCUCCCAUUCUGAACCUGACAGUACAGGACCUCAGGGCAACAUUUCCUCAUUGCUUUAGGGCUGGGAAGAUGUGCAGCUCUGAGACAGAUCCUUAUUGUGCCCUUGCUAGAUAGGGUCACUAAUCAGGCUGUUAGUGAAAUAACACUUCAGACCCUGGUCGUUCCUGGGCUGUGAAUCCACCAGUCCUACUAAUGUGCCACCCUUCCAGCUUGCUUAAAGCUGGUUCGCUAGGCCCCUGCACUCGGCAAAUAAGUGGCAACAGGAAACUACUCCAAGUCCUCUUUCACUGCAUUAUAUUCAUGACCUUGGCGGCUACUUCUGUUUGAACAACUCCUCCUGCCUACCCCUCUCACUGGCCUUUUGCAGCACGUGCUAAUUUUUUAAAAAGAACAGAUACUUGCUUCCACAC
RNAcentral lists this long non-coding RNA (1059 nucleotides) under Crocodylus porosus (Australian saltwater crocodile). RNAcentral's name for it is "lncRNA (ENSCPRG00005016348.1)". Lineage: Eukaryota; Metazoa; Chordata; Crocodylia; Crocodylidae. The record is from RNAcentral.